GUUCCCGUGGUGUAGUGGUUAUCACGUGCGCCUCACACGCGCAAGUACCCCGGUUCGAUCCUGGGCGGGAACA
This 73-nucleotide transfer RNA is filed under the name Dermacentor silvarum. RNAcentral's name for it is "transfer RNA valine (anticodon CAC)". Lineage: Eukaryota; Metazoa; Arthropoda; Arachnida; Ixodida; Ixodidae. The record is from RNAcentral.